UUCCGACCUGCACGAAUGGCAUAAUGAUGGCAGCGCUGUCUCCAGCAGAGACUCAGUGAAAUCGAAAUCGCAGUGAAGAUGCUGUGUACCCGCGGCUAGACGGAAAGACCCCGUGAACCUUUACUACAGCUUUACAUUGAACUUUGACCUAACUUGUGUAGGAUAGGUGGGAGGCUUUGAAGCAGAUACGCCAGUAUCUGUGGAGCCAACCUUGAAAUACCACCCUGGUUAUGUUGGGGUUCUAACUUGGAUAUAACAGUAUCAAGGACAAUGUAUGGUGGGUAGUUUGACUGGGGCGGUCUCCUCCUAAAGAGUAACGGAGGAGUACGAAGGUGCGCUCAGAACGGUCGGAAAUCGUUCAAAGAGUAUAAAGGCAAAAGCGCGCUUAACUGCGAGACCCACAAGUCGAGCAGGUACGAAAGUAGGUCUUAGUGAUCCGGUGGUUCUGUAUGGAAGGGCCAUCGCUCAACGGAUAAAAGGUACUCUGGGGAUAACAGGCUGAUACCGCCCAAGAGU
Molecule: ribosomal RNA, 516 nt
Filed under: Moraxella nonliquefaciens
Lineage: Bacteria; Pseudomonadati; Pseudomonadota; Gammaproteobacteria; Moraxellales; Moraxellaceae
Description: bacterial LSU rRNA
Rfam family: Bacterial large subunit ribosomal RNA
Source: RNAcentral